Molecule: ribosomal RNA, 253 nt
Filed under: uncultured Eubacteriales bacterium
Lineage: Bacteria; Bacillati; Bacillota; Clostridia; Eubacteriales
Description: uncultured Clostridiales bacterium partial 16S ribosomal RNA
Rfam family: Bacterial small subunit ribosomal RNA
Source: RNAcentral
UACGUAGGUGGCAAGCGUUGUCCGGAUUUACUGGGUGUAAAGGGCGUGUAGCCGGGUUGACAAGUCAGAUGUGAAAUCCUGCGGCUUAACCGCAGAACUGCAUUUGAAACUGUUGAUCUUGAGUACUGGAGAGGCAGACGGAAUUCCUAGUGUAGCGGUGAAAUGCGUAGAUAUUAGGAGGAACACCAGUGGCGAAGGCAGCCUGCUGGACUGUAACUGACGCUGAUGCUCGAAAGUGUGGGUAUCAAACAGG